GAUAAACGCUGGCGGCGUGCAUAACACAUGCAAGUCGAACGAUGAAGCUUAAAAGAUUUCUUCGGAAUGAACUUAAUUGGAUUAGUGGCGGACGGGUGAGUAACGCGUGAGUAACCUGCCUUGUACAAGGGGAUAGCCGUUGGAAACGACGAAUAAUACCCUAUGACAUCAAAUAAUCGCAUGAUAAUUUGAUCAAAGAUUUAUCGGUAUAAGAUGGACUUGCGUCUGAUUAGCUAGUUGGUAGAGUAAAAGCCUACCAAGGCAACGAUCAGUAGCCGGCUUGAGAGAGUGUACGGCCACAUUGGGACUGAGACACGGCCCAGACUCCUACGGGAGGCAGCAGUGGGGAAUUUUGCACAAUGGGGGAAGCCCUGAUGCAGCGACGCCGCGUGAUUGAGAAGGCCUUCGGGUUGUAAAAAUCUUUUGUAUGGGAAGAAAAUGACAGUACCAUACGAAUAAGGACCGGCUAAUUACGUG
Molecule: ribosomal RNA, 477 nt
Filed under: uncultured bacterium
Lineage: Bacteria
Description: partial 16S ribosomal RNA
Rfam family: Bacterial small subunit ribosomal RNA
Source: RNAcentral